This 73-nucleotide transfer RNA is filed under the name Mesocricetus auratus (golden hamster). It matches the Rfam family "tRNA". From Rfam's summary of the family: Transfer RNA (tRNA) molecules are approximately 80 nucleotides in length. Their secondary structure includes four short double-helical elements and three loops (D, anti-codon, and T loops). Lineage: Eukaryota; Metazoa; Chordata; Mammalia; Rodentia; Cricetidae. The record is from Rfam by way of RNAcentral.
GGAGAGUUGGCUCAGUGGUUAAGAGCACUGACUGCUCUUCCAGAGGACCUGGGUUCGAGUCCCAGCACUUCCA